ACAGUGCGCGUAAUUCCUGAGUUGGCAUCCAACCCCCAGUGUACCGACCGCGGAGCGCGCCGAGCUUAUCAGAUGACCCCUGGAAGCAGAGCGACUGGGAAUUCAGUGCAACCGGCACGGUUGGCUUGAUGCGGGUGAAGAACUCCGGGAGCACAUCUGAUCAGAGUCGAGUCUGAGGGGCACGAUCGGGGGGCACAGCGCCCGCCCUAGGUGUGUCCGGGUCGGUCCCGGAACUGGUUAACGAACCCCGACUCCUGAGAAGUGCAGAGAGCGCCGGAACUCGCUCGCAGGCCGGGGCCGCUGCCUGGGGGCGGCUGGCGGCCGCACGCUCCACCCCGGUCCCUCCUCCCGCUGCGCCGGGGGAGGAGAGGGUCGGGGCGAAGGCCCGCGCGGGGCGGACGGAGGACCACGCCCGCGCGCAGCCCACCCUCCCGCCGCCCCCGGCGCCUCCGCGGCGUGCAGAGCUCCGCGGUGCGGCUAGGGAGCAGCAGCUGGAGUUGGCGCGCUCGGGUUCCCGUGAGCAGCUCGCCGCAGCGCCCAGAUGCAGAAUUGCACUGGAUGCAUGGAUGUUUCCAGUGGGUGAUGAAGUAUGUUCCAGAAUACCUCAGCCCCUCUUUUUUAUCAACUCGGAAUGGUUCCAAUACCCUGCUAAUAUCAUCAAAAUGAAAAAAUGCUAUUUACCUGGUAGAGAGAGAAAAAUGAUUACAAUCAGGGGUUCAGUCCAUCAGAAUUUUGCUGACUUCACUUUUGCCACUGGCAAAAUGAUUGGAUACAUAUUCACAUUAAAAGGAGAAAUAGAUUCAAAGGUAGUCAUUGAUCUUAGCAACAAAGCUUCAUUAGCAUUCUUACAAAAGCAUUUAGGUAAGAAAUUAACAAUCUUUCAAGACAGUAAACCAGGUGAUUCUCAGGACAGCUGCUUAUUUUAGUGUUACAUUAAUCCCAUUCUAACUGUCUCUGGUUAGUUUACGAUGUAACCUAGCAGUAAAUCAGUUUGAAAACAAAAACUGGAGUUUAAUUUUGCUGCUUUGCAUACUAUAUAUCAUAGACAGCACGUCUGCCUGUUAAAGAAAAGUCUUUCUCUGAAGACUGGGGGGGACGUCCAUCCUGAGGACAGCACAGUGCCUCAAUCCCAUCUCAUUCAAGGGCACCCGCUGAAGCCAUGUGGCAGCUCUCAGGGAACACCUUGCUUCCAAAAUCACAAUGCAGUUUGGGUAAUUUGUGAUGCUAUGCUGCCACCUAGAGGCACGGAACUGUAUAAUGUUCACAGAAGUGUAACGUGUUUAUGAACAUUUAUAUUUUACAGAACUUCAGGAAGACUUUGAUCGGUGGGAUUCUUUGAUUGAAGGGGAAGAUGAUAAUCUUAUUCCAGGGACCAACAUUGACACAAUCAGCCAAUAUGUCAGUCUACAGAAUUCUACAAGAAUAGAGAAAUACAAUUUAGACUAAAAGUACUUUUUAAAAGUCUUGUUUAGAGACUAUCUAAAAGUGUGUGUGUGUGUGUGUGUAUGUAUGUAUGAUUUUAAUGUUUCUUUCUCAAAUAACUCAUACUAAAAAGUGUAGGCUAUGCCAUAAUAAUGAUUGAAGCUUAGACUAAGAUUCUUUUUUCAUUUAAAUGUGAAGAAAUACUGCUGUAUAUAAAAAUCAUAACCAGCCUAAAUUUUAAUUUUACUAAGAUGAUCCUUUUUAGUGUCAAAAUUAAUAACUGCUUUUAUAUUACUCUAAUUGAAAAGUAUAUUAAAACAAGCACAAUGCCAAAGAAAACAUGUUGAUGAAAUAACACUUCCUAAAAAUACAAUAAAAACAGAUUUCUUGCCUCUUU
This is an RNA transcript of Manis pentadactyla (Chinese pangolin), 1819 nucleotides long. It is a transcript of the gene named platelet-activating factor acetylhydrolase-like, with no coding region annotated. The transcript is spliced from 3 exons. NCBI's taxonomy places the organism in Eukaryota, Metazoa, Chordata, Mammalia, Pholidota, Manidae. The record is from RefSeq and is a predicted model, not a curated record.